UACGGAGGGUGCAAGCGUUAAUCGGAAUUACUGGGCGUAAAGCGUGCGCAGGCGGUUCGUUGUGUCGGCGGUGAAAUCCCCGGGCUCAACCUGGGAAUGGCCGUUGAAACUGGCGAACUGGAGUGUGGCAGAGGGGGGUGGAAUUCCGCGUGUAGCAGUGAAAUGCGUAGAGAUGCGGAGGAACACCGAUGGCGAAGGCAGCCCCCUGGGCUGACACUGACGCCUCAGGCACGAAAGCGUGGGGAGCAAACAGG
This 254-nucleotide ribosomal RNA is filed under the name uncultured bacterium. Its description in RNAcentral is "partial 16S ribosomal RNA". It matches the Rfam family "Bacterial small subunit ribosomal RNA", at positions 524 to 776 of the family's 1533-position model. The record is from RNAcentral.